GCAAGUCGAACGCGAACGAUUUCUUCGGACUUUUAGUCGAGUGGCGCACGGGUGAGUAACGCGUAAGUAAUCUACCCUGGUAUCUGGGAUAACCCACCGAAAGGUGUGCUAAUACCGGAUACGCUGAUUUAUCAGGAAAGGUGGCCUCUUCAUGAAAGCUACUGUACCAGGAGGAGCUUGCGUACCAUUAGCUAGUUGGUAGGGUAAUGGCCUACCAAGGCGACGAUGGUUAGCGGGUCUGAGAGGAUGAUC
This 252-nucleotide ribosomal RNA is filed under the name uncultured bacterium. RNAcentral's name for it is "partial 16S ribosomal RNA". It matches the Rfam family "Bacterial small subunit ribosomal RNA", at positions 57 to 305 of the family's 1533-position model. The record is from RNAcentral.